UACGGAGGGGGCGAGCGUUAUUCGGAAUUAUUGGGCGUAAAGGGCGCGUAGGCGGCUUGGCAAGUCAAAGGUGAAAUCCCUCGGCUCAACUGAGGAACUGCCUUUGAAACUGCCUGGCUUGAGGCCGGGAGGGGGUAGCGGAAUUCCCAGUGUAGCGGUGAAAUGCGUAGAUAUUGGGAGGAACACCAGUGGCGAAGGCGGCUACCUGGACCGGUUCUGACGCUGAGGUGCGAAAGCGUGGGGAGCAAACAGG
RNAcentral lists this ribosomal RNA (253 nucleotides) under uncultured bacterium. RNAcentral's name for it is "partial 16S ribosomal RNA". It matches the Rfam family "Bacterial small subunit ribosomal RNA", at positions 524 to 776 of the family's 1533-position model. The record is from RNAcentral.